RNAcentral lists this unclassified non-coding RNA (485 nucleotides) under Hevea brasiliensis (rubber tree). Lineage: Eukaryota; Viridiplantae; Streptophyta; Magnoliopsida; Malpighiales; Euphorbiaceae. The record is from RNAcentral.
ACGUGACAGAACAACUGAAGCCACGGAGAAAAAGUUUGAUAAUGAAGAUGAUAGCUUCAUUCAAAGGAAUAACAAGAGCAAUAUGUAUGGCAAUCCGUCUAAAUACAACUUUCCUAGUGCAUAUCACCAUAGGUCCCCUCCCACUGAAGCUCAAAAGAAAGCCCACUUUGUGGAGCCUGACAAAACCACUGAAGUUGGUAGGAAGGAGAAACAUAAAGUCAGUGAGGAAAAGGUUGAUAAUGAAGCUGAUAACUUCAUCAAGAGGAAACACAAGAACUUUGAGCUUGCAAAGAUGGAUACUUUUAAGGUCUAUUGAGCAUACAACUAAUGCUUAGCAGAUACACAGUUAUGAAUGAUCACUAGGUCAUACUGAAUCACUAGUAUAAUAAGAUGUCUGUUGUAUCACACUUGAUCAUAGGCUGUCUUUACAGUUCUAUUGACUAUAAAUCUGUAUGCAAGUACUUGAUAUGUAAUGAAACUUGAAG